GACGAACGCUGGCGGCGUGCUUAACACAUGCAAGUCGAACGGAAAGGCCCUGCUUUUGUGGGGUGCUCGAGUGGCGAACGGGUGAGUAACACGUGAGUAACCUGCCCUUGACUUUGGGAUAACUUCAGGAAACUGGGGCUAAUACCGGAUAGGAGCUCCUGCUGCAUGGUGGGGGUUGGAAAGUUUCGGCGGUUGGGGAUGGACUCGCGGCUUAUCAGCUUGUUGGUGGGGUAGUGGCUUACCAAGGCUUUGACGGGUAGCCGGCCUGAGAGGGUGACCGGCCACAUUGGGACUGAGAUACGGCCCAGACUCCUACGGGAGGCAGCAGUGGGGAAUAUUGCACAAUGGGCGGAAGCCUGAUGCAGCAACGCCGCGUGCGGGAUGACGGCCUUCGGGUUGGAAACCGCCUUCGCCUGUGACGAAGCGUGAGUGACGGUAAUGGGUAAAGAAGCACCGGCUAACUACGU
Molecule: ribosomal RNA, 467 nt
Filed under: uncultured bacterium
Lineage: Bacteria
Description: partial 16S ribosomal RNA
Rfam family: Bacterial small subunit ribosomal RNA
Source: RNAcentral